This 741-nucleotide ribosomal RNA is filed under the name Lactococcus lactis. Its description in RNAcentral is "bacterial SSU rRNA". It matches the Rfam family "Bacterial small subunit ribosomal RNA", at positions 139 to 870 of the family's 1533-position model. Lineage: Bacteria; Bacillati; Bacillota; Bacilli; Lactobacillales; Streptococcaceae. The record is from RNAcentral.
GGGGACAACAUUUGGAAACGAAUGCUAAUACCGCAUAAAAACUUUAAACACAAGUUCUAAGUUUGAAAGAUGCAAUUGCAUCACUCAAAGAUGAUCCCGCGUUGUAUUAGCUAGUUGGUGAGGUAAAGGCUCACCAAGGCGAUGAUACAUAGCCGACCUGAGAGGGUGAUCGGCCACAUUGGGACUGAGACACGGCCCAAACUCCUACGGGAGGCAGCAGUAGGGAAUCUUCGGCAAUGGACGAAAGUCUGACCGAGCAACGCCGCGUGAGUGAAGAAGGUUUUCGGAUCGUAAAACUCUGUUGGUAGAGAAGAACGUUGGUGAGAGUGGAAAGCUCAUCAAGUGACGGUAACUACCCAGAAAGGGACGGCUAACUACGUGCCAGCAGCCGCGGUAAUACGUAGGUCCCGAGCGUUGUCCGGAUUUAUUGGGCGUAAAGCGAGCGCAGGUGGUUUAUUAAGUCUGGUGUAAAAGGCAGUGGCUCAACCAUUGUAUGCAUUGGAAACUGGUAGACUUGAGUGCAGGAGAGGAGAGUGGAAUUCCAUGUGUAGCGGUGAAAUGCGUAGAUAUAUGGAGGAACACCGGUGGCGAAAGCGGCUCUCUGGCCUGUAACUGACACUGAGCUCGAAAGCGUGGGGAGCAAACAGGAUUAGAUACCCUGGUAGUCCACGCCGUAACGAUGAGUGCUAGAUGUAGGAGCUAUAGUUCUCUGUAUCGCAGCUACGCAUAAAUCACUAGUGA